AAUAGGUAGACAUUUUGAUUUAAGUGGGGGCACAAAACCCAGUUCUGCUUCUACUGUUGGUUGGCUCUGUGAUCUCGGGCUUUUCACCUUCGUCUGUCAGACCUUAAUUUCUCCAGUUCUAAAAUGAAGACCGAAGGGACUGAUCCUCCAAAUGUCCCCUGACUGCUGAGGGCCACCAUAUUUCAGAGAGUUGGCUAAGCGCCAGCUUUUGCUCUCUCCCUCCUCACGUGGCCUCAUCUGAAGAGAUUCUUUUGAUGCUCCCUGCUAGACUUGUCCAUUAAUCUUCCCUCCUUCCAGCCUCCAUGUGAUGAGCGUCUGUCCUUGAAUUCCGACUGUUAGCGUGAGGUGACGCCACCACAGCUGGCCAGGCUUCCCAGCAUGAGCUUGAGACUUCUUUGGCUACCUCACUCACAAUGGUGAGGUAUAUGGACACUCUGUAGGACCCAGUGAAAACCAUACAGUGUAUGAUACCAUAUGACACCUUCACUUAGCUAUAAGCAAACAAAGGCUUUUGUAUUUAAUCUAUAAUCAAUCCCCAUAAUAAAGUAAAAUUUAGAA
This is a long non-coding RNA of Mesocricetus auratus (golden hamster), 558 nucleotides long. RefSeq lists it as uncharacterized. The transcript is spliced from 2 exons. Lineage: Eukaryota; Metazoa; Chordata; Mammalia; Rodentia; Cricetidae. The record is from RefSeq and is a predicted model, not a curated record.